RNAcentral lists this ribosomal RNA (252 nucleotides) under uncultured bacterium. Its description in RNAcentral is "partial 16S ribosomal RNA". It matches the Rfam family "Bacterial small subunit ribosomal RNA", at positions 524 to 776 of the family's 1533-position model. The record is from RNAcentral.
UACGGGGGGGCAAGCGUUGUUCGGAAUUACUGGGCGUAAAGGGCUCGUAGGCGGCCAACUAAGUCGGACGUGAAAUCCCUCGGCUUAACCGGGGAACUGCGUCCGAUACUGGAUGGCUUGAGUUCGGGAGAGGGAUGCGGAAUUCCAGGUGUAGCGGUGAAAUGCGUAGAUAUCUGGAGGAACACCGGUGGCGAAGGCGGCAUCCUGGACCGACACUGACGCUGAGGAGCGAAAGCCAGGGGAGCAAACAGG